This 2934-nucleotide ribosomal RNA is filed under the name Yersinia enterocolitica. Its description in RNAcentral is "bacterial LSU rRNA". It matches the Rfam family "Bacterial large subunit ribosomal RNA". Lineage: Bacteria; Pseudomonadati; Pseudomonadota; Gammaproteobacteria; Enterobacterales; Yersiniaceae. The record is from RNAcentral.
GGGUUGUGAGGUUAAGCGACUAAGCGUACACGGUGGAUGCCUAGGCAGUCAGAGGCGAUGAAGGGCGUGCUAAUCUGCGAAAAGCGUCGGUAAGGUGAUAUGAACCGUUACAACCGACGAUACCCGAAUGGGGAAACCCAGUGCAAUUCGUUGCACUAUUGCAUGGUGAAUACAUAGCCAUGCAAGGCGAACCGGGGGAACUGAAACAUCUAAGUACCCCGAGGAAAAGAAAUCAACCGAGAUUCCCCCAGUAGCGGCGAGCGAACGGGGAGGAGCCCAGAACCUGAAUCAGCAUAUGUGUUAGUGGAAGCGUCUGGAAAGUCGCACGGUACAGGGUGAUAGUCCCGUACACAAAAAUGCAUAUGUUGUGAGUUCGAUGAGUAGGGCGGGACACGUGACAUCCUGUCUGAAUAUGGGGGGACCAUCCUCCAAGGCUAAAUACUCCUGACUGACCGAUAGUGAACCAGUACCGUGAGGGAAAGGCGAAAAGAACCCCGGCGAGGGGAGUGAAAUAGAACCUGAAACCGUGUACGUACAAGCAGUGGGAGCACCUUCGUGGUGUGACUGCGUACCUUUUGUAUAAUGGGUCAGCGACUUAUAUUUUGUAGCAAGGUUAACCGAAUAGGGGAGCCGUAGGGAAACCGAGUCUUAACUGGGCGAAUAGUUGCAAGGUAUAGACCCGAAACCCGGUGAUCUAGCCAUGGGCAGGUUGAAGGUUGGGUAACACUAACUGGAGGACCGAACCGACUAAUGUUGAAAAAUUAGCGGAUGACUUGUGGCUGGGGGUGAAAGGCCAAUCAAACCGGGAGAUAGCUGGUUCUCCCCGAAAGCUAUUUAGGUAGCGCCUCGUGAACUCAUCUUCGGGGGUAGAGCACUGUUUCGGCUAGGGGGUCAUCCCGACUUACCAAACCGAUGCAAACUCCGAAUACCGAAGAAUGUUAUCACGGGAGACACACGGCGGGUGCUAACGUCCGUCGUGAAGAGGGAAACAACCCAGACCGCCAGCUAAGGUCCCAAAGUCAUGGUUAAGUGGGAAACGAUGUGGGAAGGCAUAGACAGCCAGGAUGUUGGCUUAGAAGCAGCCAUCAUUUAAAGAAAGCGUAAUAGCUCACUGGUCGAGUCGGCCUGCGCGGAAGAUGUAACGGGGCUAAACCAUGCACCGAAGCUGCGGCAGCGACACUUAGGUGUUGUUGGGUAGGGGAGCGUUCUGUAAGCCGUUGAAGGUGACCUGUGAGGGUUGCUGGAGGUAUCAGAAGUGCGAAUGCUGACAUAAGUAACGAUAAUGCGGGUGAAAAACCCGCACGCCGGAAGACCAAGGGUUCCUGUCCAACGUUAAUCGGGGCAGGGUGAGUCGACCCCUAAGGCGAGGCUGAAAAGCGUAGUCGAUGGGAAACAGGUUAAUAUUCCUGUACUUGGUGUUACUGCGAAGGGGGGACGGAGAAGGCUAGGCUAGCCGGGCGACGGUUGUCCCGGUUUAAGCAUGUAGGCGGAGUGACUUGGUAAAUCCGGUUGCUUAUCAACGCUGAGGUGUGAUGACGAGCCACUACGGUGGUGAAGUAGUUGAUGCCAAGCUUCCAGGAAAAGCCUCUAAGCAUCAGGUAACAUUAAAUCGUACCCCAAACCGACACAGGUGGUCAGGUAGAGAAUACUCAGGCGCUUGAGAGAACUCGGGUGAAGGAACUAGGCAAAAUGGUGCCGUAACUUCGGGAGAAGGCACGCUGGCAUUAGGUAAAGAGACUUGCUCUCGGCGCCGAAGCCAGUCGCAGAUACCAGCUGGCUGCAACUGUUUAAUAAAAACACAGCACUGUGCAAACACGAAAGUGGACGUAUACGGUGUGACGCCUGCCCGGUGCUGGAAGGUUAAUUGAUGGGGUCAGCCGCAAGGCGAAGCUCUUGAUCGAAGCCCCAGUAAACGGCGGCCGUAACUAUAACGGUCCUAAGGUAGCGAAAUUCCUUGUCGGGUAAGUUCCGACCUGCACGAAUGGCGUAAUGAUGGCCAGGCUGUCUCCACCCGAGACUCAGUGAAAUUGAACUCGCUGUGAAGAUGCAGUGUACCCGCGGCAAGACGGAAAGACCCCGUGAACCUUUACUAUAGCUUGACACUGAACAUUGAGCCUUGAUGUGUAGGAUAGGUGGGAGGCAUUGAAGUGUGGACGCCAGUCUGCAUGGAGCCAACCUUGAAAUACCACCCUUUAAUGUUUGAUGUUCUAACUCGGCCCCGUGAUCCGGGGUGAGGACAGUGUCUGGUGGGUAGUUUGACUGGGGCGGUCUCCUCCCAAAGAGUAACGGAGGAGCACGAAGGUUAGCUAAUCACGGUCGGACAUCGUGAGGUUAGUGCAAAGGCAUAAGCUAGCUUGACUGCGAGAGUGACGGCUCGAGCAGGUACGAAAGUAGGUCUUAGUGAUCCGGUGGUUCUGAAUGGAAGGGCCAUCGCUCAACGGAUAAAAGGUACUCCGGGGAUAACAGGCUGAUACCGCCCAAGAGUUCAUAUCGACGGCGGUGUUUGGCACCUCGAUGUCGGCUCAUCACAUCCUGGGGCUGAAGUAGGUCCCAAGGGUAUGGCUGUUCGCCAUUUAAAGUGGUACGCGAGCUGGGUUUAGAACGUCGUGAGACAGUUCGGUCCCUAUCUGCCGUGGGCGUUGGAAGAUUGAGAGGGGCUGCUCCUAGUACGAGAGGACCGGAGUGGACGAAUCACUGGUGUUCGGGUUGUCAUGCCAAUGGCAUUGCCCGGUAGCUAAAUUCGGAAGAGAUAACCGCUGAAAGCAUCUAAGCGGGAAACUUGCCUCGAGAUGAGUCUUCCCUGGGGCUUUAAGCCCCCUGAAGGAACGUUAAAGACUAUGACGUUGAUAGGCUGGGUGUGUAAGUGCAGCGAUGCAUUGAGCUAACCAGUACUAAUGAUCCGUGAGGCUUAACCUUACAACACCGAAGGUGUUU